Molecule: ribosomal RNA, 448 nt
Filed under: uncultured bacterium
Lineage: Bacteria
Description: bacterial SSU rRNA
Rfam family: Bacterial small subunit ribosomal RNA
Source: RNAcentral
UGGCGGACGGGUGAGUAACACGUGAGCAACCUGCCUCUGAGAGAGGGAUAGCCUCUGGAAACGGAUGGUAAUACCUCAUAACAUAAUUGAAUGGCAUCAUUUAAUUAUCAAAGAUUUAUCACUCAGAGAUGGGCUCGCGUCUGAUUAGCUAGUUGGUAAGGUAACGGCUUACCAAGGCGACGAUCAGUAGCCGGACUGAGAGGUUGAACGGCCACAUUGGGACUGAGACACGGCCCAGACUCCUACGGGAGGCAGCAGUGGGGAAUAUUGCACAAUGGGGGAAACCCUGAUGCAGCGAUGCCGCGUGGAGGAAGAAGGUUUUCGGAUUGUAAACUCCUGUCUUCAGGGACGAUAAUGACGGUACCUGAGGAGGAAGCUCCGGCUAACUACGUGCCAGCAGCCGCGGUAAUACGUAGGGAGCAAGCGUUGUCCGGAAUUACUGGGUGUA